UUAAGCGAAUAAGCGUACACGGUGGAUGCCUAGGCAAUCAGAGGCGAUGAAGGACGUGCUAAUCUGCGAUAAGCGUCGGUAAGGUGAUAUGAACCGUUAUACCCGACGAUUUCCGAAUGGGGAAACCCAAUAUCCAAUGGAUAUUAUCAUUAACUGAAUACAUAGGUUAAUGAAGCGAACCGGGAGAACUGAAACAUCUCAGUACCCCGAGGAAAAGAAAUCAACCGAGAUUCCCCUAGUAGCGGCGAGCGAACGGGGAACAGCCCAGAGUCUUAAUCAAUAGCAGCAUCAGGAGAACGGUCUGGAAAGUCCGGCAGUAAAGGGUGAUAGCCCCGUAUCCGAAGAUGCUGUUAUUGUGAACUCGACGAGUAGGGCGGGACACGUGUUAUCCUGUCUGAAUAUGGGGGGACCAUCCUCCAAGGCUAAAUACUCCUGAUUGACCGAUAGUGAACCAGUACCGUGAGGGAAAGGCGAAAAGAACCCCGGCGAGGGGAGUGAAAAAGAACCUGAAACCGUGUACGUACAAGCAGUAGGAGCCCCAUCACUCAAGUGCCUCGCACUGAGUGAUUGGACAAACCACUCGAAAACAGCNAACCCCGGCGAGGGGAGUGAAAAAGAACCUGAAACCGUGUACGUACAAGCAGUAGGAGCCCCACCACUAAGCUAGUGGUGAACUCACAGCGAUUCUUUUGCAUGAUAAUGUGCGGUAGACGGAGCGAAUGCGACGUCCAACCAACAAAAUCAAGCAGAGGAGGCUUAGUGGUGGGGUGACUGCGUACCUUUUGUAUAAUGGGUCAGCGACUUAUAUUCUGUAGCAAGGUUAACCGUAUAGGGGAGCCGUAGGGAAACCGAGUCUUAACUGGGCGAAUGAGUUGCAGGGUAUAGACCCGAAACCCGGUGAUCUAUCCAUGGGCAGGUUGAAGGUUGGGUAACACUAACUGGAGGACCGAACCGACUAAUGUUGAAAAAUUAGCGGAUGACUUGUGGAUGGGGGUGAAAGGCCAAUCAAACCGGGAGAUAGCUGGUUCUCCCCGAAAGCUAUUUAGGUAGCGCCUCGUGAACUCAUCUUCGGGGGUAGAGCACUGUUUCGACUAGGGGGUCAUCCCGACUUACCAACUCGAUGCAAACUGCGAAUACCGAAGAAUGUUAUCACGGGAGACACACGGCGGGUGCUAACGUCCGUCGUGAAGAGGGAAACAACCCAGACCGCCAGCUAAGGUCCCAAAGUCAUGGUUAAGUGGGAAACGAAGUGGGAAGGCUCAGACAGCCAGGAUGUUGGCUUAGAAGCAGCCAUCAUUUAAAGAAAGCGUAAUAGCUCACUGGUCGAGUCGGCCCGCGCGGAAGAUGUAACGGGGCUAAACCAUGCACCGAAGCUGCGGCAGCGACACUAAGUGUUGUUGGGUAGGGGAGCGUUCUGUAAGCCUGCGAAGGUGUACUGUGAGGUAUGCUGGAGGUAUCAGAAGUGCGAAUGCUGACAUAAGUAACGAUAAUGCGGGUGAAAAACCCGCACGCCGGAAGACCAAGGGUUCCUGUCCAACGUUAAUCGGGGCAGGGUGAGUCGACCCCUAAGGCGAGGCUGAAAAGCGUAGUCGAUGGGAAACGGNUAAGUAACGAUAAUGCGGGUGAAAAACCCGCACGCCGGAAGACCAAGGGUUCCUGUCCAACGUUAAUCGGGGCAGGGUGAGUCGACCCCUAAGGCGAGGCUGAAAAGCGUAGUCGAUGGGAAACGGGUUAAUAUUCCCGUACUGGUGGUAACUGCGAUGGGGGAACGGAGAAGGCUAGGUUGUCCGGGCGACGGUCGUCCCGGUUCAAGCAUGUAGGCAGAGUGAUUAGGCAAAUCCGGUCACUUAAUGCUGAGGUGUGAUGACGAACCACUAAGGUGGUGAAGCAAUUGAUGCCCUGCUUCCAGGAAAAGCCUCUAAGCUUCAGGUUACCAACAAUCGUACCCCAAACCGACACAGGUGGUCAGGUAGAGAAUACUCAGGCGCUUGAGAGAACUCGGGUGAAGGAACUAGGCAAAAUGGUGCCGUAACUUCGGGAGAAGGCACGCUGGCGGUAAGUGAAGUCCCUCGCGGACGGAGCCGAAGCCAGUCGAAGAUACCAGCUGGCUGCAACUGUUUAUUAAAAACACAGCACUGUGCAAACACGAAAGUGGACGUAUACGGUGUGACGCCUGCCCGGUGCUGGAAGGUUAAUUGAUGGGGUUAUCCUUAGGGAGAAGCUCUUGAUCGAAGCCCCAGUAAACGGCGGCCGUAACUAUAACGGUCCUAAGGUAGCGAAAUUCCUUGUCGGGUAAGUUCCGACCUGCACGAAUGGCGUAAUGAUGGCCAGGCUGUCUCCACCCGAGACUCAGUGAAAUUGAACUCGCUGUGAAGAUGCAGUGUACCCGCGGCAAGACGGAAAGACCCCGUGAACCUUUACUAUAGCUUGACACUGAACAUUGAGCCUUGAUGUGUAGGAUAGGUGGGAGACUAUGAAGUGUGGACGCCAGUCUGCAUGGAGUCAACCUUGAAAUACCACCCUUUAACGUUUGAUGUUCUAACCUAGGUCCAUAAUCUGGAUCGGGGACCGUGUCUGGUGGGUAGUUUGACUGGGGCGGUCUCCUCCUAAAGAGUAACGGAGGAGCACGAAGGUUGGCUAAGCAUGGUCGGACAUCAUGCGGUUAGUGCAAAGGCAUAAGCCAGCUUGACUGUGAGAGUGACGGCUCGAGCAGGUACGAAAGUAGGUCUUAGUGAUCCGGUGGUUCUGAAUGGAAGGGCCAUCGCUCAACGGAUAAAAGGUACUCCGGGGAUAACAGGCUGAUACCGCCCAAGAGUUCAUAUCGACGGCGGUGUUUGGCACCUCGAUGUCGGCUCAUCACAUCCUGGGGCUGAAGUAGGUCCCAAGGGUAUGGCUGUUCGCCAUUUAAAGUGGUACGCGAGCUGGGUUUAGAACGUCGUGAGACAGUUCGGUCCCUAUCUGCCGUGGGCGUUGGAAGAUUGAGAGGGGUUGCUCCUAGUACGAGAGGACCGGAGUGAACGCACCACUGGUGUUCGGGUUGUCAUGCCAAUGGCAUUGCCCGGUAGCUAAGUGCGGAAGAGAUAACCGCUGAAAGCAUCUAAGCGGGAAACUUGCCUCGAGAUGAGUCUUCCCUGUCACCUAGAGUGACCUAAAGGAACGUUUAAGACUAAGACGUUGAUAGGCUGGGUGUGUAAGCGUAGCGAUACGUUGAGCUAACCAGUACUAAUGAACCGUGAGGCUUAACCU
RNAcentral lists this ribosomal RNA (3246 nucleotides) under Proteus vulgaris. RNAcentral describes it as "bacterial LSU rRNA". It matches the Rfam family "Bacterial large subunit ribosomal RNA". The record is from RNAcentral. Lineage: Bacteria; Pseudomonadati; Pseudomonadota; Gammaproteobacteria; Enterobacterales; Morganellaceae.